Molecule: ribosomal RNA, 1067 nt
Filed under: Staphylococcus sp.
Lineage: Bacteria; Bacillati; Bacillota; Bacilli; Caryophanales; Staphylococcaceae
Description: bacterial SSU rRNA
Rfam family: Bacterial small subunit ribosomal RNA
Source: RNAcentral
GAGCUUGCUCCUUUGAAGUUAGCGGCGGACGGGUGAGUAACACGUGGGUAACCUACCUAUAAGACUGGGAUAACUUCGGGAAACCGGAGCUAAUACCGGAUAACAUUUAGAACCGCAUGGUUCUAAAGUGAAAGAUGGUUUUGCUAUCACUUAUAGAUGGACCCGCGCCGUAUUAGCUAGUUGGUAAGGUAACGGCUUACCAAGGCGACGAUACGUAGCCGACCUGAGAGGGUGAUCGGCCACACUGGAACUGAGACACGGUCCAGACUCCUACGGGAGGCAGCAGUAGGGAAUCUUCCGCAAUGGGCGAAAGCCUGACGGAGCAACGCCGCGUGAGUGAUGAAGGGUUUCGGCUCGUAAAACUCUGUUAUUAGGGAAGAACAAAUGUGUAAGUAACUGUGCACAUCUUGACGGUACCUAAUCAGAAAGCCACGGCUAACUACGUGCCAGCAGCCGCGGUAAUACGUAGGUGGCAAGCGUUAUCCGGAAUUAUUGGGCGUAAAGCGCGCGUAGGCGGUUUCUUAAGUCUGAUGUGAAAGCCCACGGCUCAACCGUGGAGGGUCAUUGGAAACUGGGAAACUUGAGUGCAGAAGAGGAAAGUGGAAUUCCAUGUGUAGCGGUGAAAUGCGCAGAGAUAUGGAGGAACACCAGUGGCGAAGGCGACUUUCUGGUCUGUAACUGACGCUGAUGUGCGAAAGCGUGGGGAUCAAACAGGAUUAGAUACCCUGGUAGUCCACGCCGUAAACGAUGAGUGCUAAGUGUUAGGGGGUUUCCGCCCCUUAGUGCUGCAGCUAACGCAUUAAGCACUCCGCCUGGGGAGUACGACCGCAAGGUUGAAACUCAAAGGAAUUGACGGGGACCCGCACAAGCGGUGGAGCAUGUGGUUUAAUUCGAAGCAACGCGAAGAACCUUACCAAAUCUUGACAUCCUUUGAAAACUCUAGAGAUAGAGCCUUCCCCUUCGGGGGACAAAGUGACAGGUGGUGCAUGGUUGUCGUCAGCUCGUGUCGUGAGAUGUUGGGUUAAGUCCCGCAACGAGCGCAACCCUUAAGCUUAGUUGCCAUCAUU